Non-coding RNA from Sus scrofa (pig), 72 nucleotides. NCBI's taxonomy places the organism in Eukaryota, Metazoa, Chordata, Mammalia, Artiodactyla, Suidae. The record is from Rfam.
UCCCUGGUAGUCUAUUGGUUAGGACUCAGCACUUUCACCACUGCAACCUGGGUUCAGACCCUGGUCUGGGAA